UUUUCUUACCCAAGCUCCUGGUUUUUGUUGGCACCCAAAGCCCCCUGUUUCUGGUGUCACCCCCAACUGGUUGUCCUAAAGGUGUAUGUUUUACCCCUAGACCAGGAUCUUGAACCAUUGUCACAAACCCCCUUUUUGGUGUCACACCGAACUGGUUCUCCUAAAGCUGUAUCUUUUGUUUCUAGAUCAGGAUCUUAAACAUUUUGUCUUCAAAUCACCAGGAGACUUUUUAAAUCGUGUCAAAAUGUGGAUCUGAACUGGUUGAAAGUGUCCCACCCAAAGCAGUGUCCAUGGUAGUGAGGUCCCUUCCAGAGUGCUGUCCCAGUUAUAUUCUCUGUAUUUUGUGGUAUUGAGAUUAUAGAAAGUUUAGUGUCUGAAACAUGCGUUUAAUGUGUAUUUUUAAACAAAUUUAUGGCAAUUAAAGAA
Dryobates pubescens (Downy woodpecker) is the source of this 426-nucleotide long non-coding RNA. RefSeq lists it as uncharacterized. The transcript is spliced from 2 exons. Lineage: Eukaryota; Metazoa; Chordata; Aves; Piciformes; Picidae. The record is from RefSeq and is a predicted model, not a curated record.